GAUGAACGCUGGCGGCGUGCCUAAUACAUGCAAGUCGAGCGAACAGACGAGGAGCUUGCGCCGCUGACGUUAGCGGCGGACGGGUGAGUAACACGUGUAUAACCUACCUAUAAGACUGGGAUAACUUCGGGAAACCGGAGCUAAUACCGGAGAAUAUAUUGAACCGCAUGGUGCAAUAGUGAAAGACGGCGUUGGUGUCACGUAUAGAUGGAUCCGCGCCGGAUUAGCUAGUUGGUAGGGUAAAGGCUUACCAAGGCAAGGAGGCGUAACCGACGUGACGGGGUGAUCGGCCACCUUGGAACUGAGACGCGGUCCAGACUCCUACGGGAGGCAGCAGUAGGGAAUCUUCCGCAGUGGGCGAAAGCCUGACGGAGCAGCGCCGCGUGAGUGAUGAAGGUCUUCGGAUCGUAAAACUCUGUUAUGAGGGAAGAACAAAUGUGUAAGUAACUAUGCACUUCUUGACGGUACCUAGUCAGAAAGCCACGGCUAACUACGUG
Molecule: ribosomal RNA, 497 nt
Filed under: uncultured bacterium
Lineage: Bacteria
Description: partial 16S ribosomal RNA
Rfam family: Bacterial small subunit ribosomal RNA
Source: RNAcentral